UAAUGUCUGGGAAACUGCCUGAUGGAGGGGGAUAACUACUGGAAACGGUAGCUAAUACCGCAUAACGUCGCAAGACCAAAGUGGGGGACCUUCGGGCCUCAUGCCAUCAGAUGUGCCCAGAUGGGAUUAGCUAGUAGGUGGGGUAACGGCUCACCUAGGCGACGAUCCCUAGCUGGUCUGAGAGGAUGACCAGCCACACUGGAACUGAGACAUGGUCCAG
Molecule: ribosomal RNA, 220 nt
Filed under: uncultured bacterium
Lineage: Bacteria
Description: partial 16S ribosomal RNA
Rfam family: Bacterial small subunit ribosomal RNA
Source: RNAcentral